Molecule: ribosomal RNA, 266 nt
Filed under: uncultured bacterium
Lineage: Bacteria
Description: partial 16S ribosomal RNA
Rfam family: Bacterial small subunit ribosomal RNA
Source: RNAcentral
CUUAGUGGCGGACGGGUGAGUAACGCGUGAGUAACCUGCCUUUCAGAGGGGGAUAACGUUCUGAAAAGAACGCUAAUACCGCAUAAGCCCACGGUGCCGCAUGGCACAGAGGGAAAAGGAGCAAUCCGCUUUGAGAUGGCCUCGCGUCCGAUUAGCUAGUUGGUGAGGUAACGGCCCACCAAGGCAACGAUCGGUAGCCGGACUGAGAGGUUGAACGGCCACAUUGGGACUGAGACACGGCCCAGACUCCUACGGGAGGCAGCAUG